UGUUCUCGCAGCGCCCCUUGGACAAAAUGGAAUAAAUCGAUUGAAAUAAUGAAAAAGAUUUUUCUAUUUUUUUUUUUUUAUUCUAUUUACCUAACGAAACUAAUUUGAAUCUACGAUAAAUGAUCGUUGAUUAAAAAUUUUUUAAUGCAAUACACCAUUAAACUGUUAUUAAUAUCUCUGAUUUUGUCUUCUAAACGUAUUAUAAAAACUGGAGAGCUAUUAUAACGAAGUGAACUGCCCUUGAAAGAAGUUGAAGCGAAAAAAGAUAAAUAUUAAAUGAUACAUCUAUUCUUUUUUAAUUGAAAAUUUAUAGUAAAUUUAUAUACUGAAAAUUAAAUAUUAAAAAUCGUAUCAGUCUUUAUAUCAAAACACAAAAUACAAUAAUCCAUAUUUGAGCUUUAAAUGACAUUAAUAGCAAUAAAACAUGUAAUAGGAAUUUCGAAAUAUAGUAGUCAUGCAUAAUUUUAAAAUGUUUAAUAUUUUUUUAUAAUUUAUUUUCCGACCGUAUUCAUUGAUUUUUAGAUAUACCAUAACCUAUUUAUACGAAACUUGUACAUACAUUGAUACAAAUGUGUAUUAUAGCACAAUCCCAUGAAAGAAUAAAACUACAUUACCACUUGUUAUCUAUUUUUCUCUCAUUUUAUGCUCCAGGUGAAAAUAACAAUAACAUAACUUCACUCGUAAACACCGCCUUUUGCCUCGUUAAUUAAAUUUGAUGAAGAAAGAGAAAUCGAUGGAUUCGUUUGAUAAUCCAACCAAACCAUUUGCGAUGAUGGUUUACGUUUUACUUCAGAAGAUCGAUGGUGGGUAGAUCAAGUGCCAGUUGGAGAGCUCACGGAUACUGGGAUGUUUGGUAAAUGUAACAAUUAGGCAUUAACAAUUAAGGAAUAAGAAAUAUAGAAAUUUCAAAUUUUCAAA
Molecule: non-coding RNA, 918 nt
Organism: Osmia lignaria (orchard mason bee)
Lineage: Eukaryota; Metazoa; Arthropoda; Insecta; Hymenoptera; Megachilidae
Source: RefSeq, a predicted model, not a curated record